Molecule: transfer-messenger RNA, 404 nt
Filed under: Crocinitomicaceae
Lineage: Bacteria; Pseudomonadati; Bacteroidota; Flavobacteriia; Flavobacteriales
Also listed under: 1 other name
Description: Brumimicrobium sp023957385 Standard tmRNA
Rfam family: transfer-messenger RNA
About the family: Bacterial tmRNA, also known as 10Sa RNA or SsrA, is named for its dual tRNA and mRNA-like properties. Its role is to liberate the mRNA from a stalled ribosome. To accomplish this part of the tmRNA is used as a reading frame that ends in a translation stop signal.
Source: RNAcentral
GGGGCUGACUUGGAAUUGACAGCAACUGAUGAUGAAUAGUAUAAGCAUGUCGAGUCAUGUGGUGAGACUCGUUAAUCCCUGGUCACAAACAAUAAUUGACAACAAUAUGUCAUAUAACCUCGCAGCGUAAUCAUUAGAUGAUUCUGCUUAAUCCACUCCGAAGCAUAGUAAGAGGGACGAGAUUCUCGCGGAACUCCCUUCCUAAGAGGUCCGAUCACGGGAGUUUACAAAGUUGGGAAUAGCUUGCAAACGGCUUCUGAAUGCGAGCGAAAUUGAAUGAAGAUAAGCUUAAAGUAGGGUGUUUACCUCCAGCUUUGAGUCGAAAACCGAAGUGUAGACUAAACAUGUAGAAGGCUUUUUAUUGCUUUGUUUGGACGAGGGUUCGAACCCCUCCAGCUCCACUC